Molecule: ribosomal RNA, 492 nt
Filed under: uncultured bacterium
Lineage: Bacteria
Description: partial 16S ribosomal RNA
Rfam family: Bacterial small subunit ribosomal RNA
Source: RNAcentral
AGUGAACGCUGGCGGUAGGCCUAACACAUGCAAGUCGAACGGCAGCACAGUAAGAGCUUGCUCUUACGGGUGGCGAGUGGCGGACGGGUGAGGAAUACAUCGGAAUCUACUUUUUCGUGGGGGAUAACGUAGGGAAACUUACGCUAAUACCGCAUACGACCUACGGGUGAAAGCAGGGGAUCUUCGGACCUUGCGCGAUUGAAUGAGCCGAUGUCGGAUUAGCUAGUUGGCGGGGUAAAGGCCCACCAAGGCGACGAUCCGUAGCUGGUCUGAGAGGGUGAUCAGCCACACUGGAACUGAGACACGGUCCAGACUCCUACGGGAGGCAGCAGUGGGGAAUAUUGGACAAUGGGCGCAAGCCUGGUCCAGCCAUACCGCGUGGGUGAAGAAGGCCUUCGGGUUGUAAAGCCCUUUUGUUGGGAAAGAAAAGCAGCAGGUUAAUACCCCGCUGUUCUGACGGUACCCAAAGAAUAAGCACCGGCUAACUUCGUG